This is a long non-coding RNA of Salvelinus sp. IW2-2015, 1522 nucleotides long. RefSeq lists it as uncharacterized. Lineage: Eukaryota; Metazoa; Chordata; Actinopteri; Salmoniformes; Salmonidae. The record is from RefSeq and is a predicted model, not a curated record.
CCUCUCCUCUCUACCUAACUUCCCAUCACAGUCCCUUCAGUUUCCUUUAAGUCCCGUUAGUUUGGCUGCUCAGCCUACCUUAGUUAUCCCUCACUCAUCAAAGUCCUGCAAUUCCCAACCAAUCAGGGCGCUUGGAAAUGCGCAUCUGGACUCUGCACCCUCCCACUCAGGUCAGAGUGUUAUUGUCGUCGAAGGGAGAAGACGCAUCUUCCUGAGGACUUUUUAUUGUUGGCAGUAACACGAAUGUCUGAAUGUUGUGCGUGCAUAGAAAUAACCACAACAAUAAGUUUCCAAAUCAUUCGGAUUACCACAGUCAUAUAAACAUCUUCAAAGGAAACAGCUGUGUCUGUGUGUGGUGGUGACUAUCAAGAGUGCAGUGAUGGGCCUCAACAACAUGUUCCAACCGACAGCACUAUAGAGGACAGAACCAAACCAAUCAGUUGCAAGUCUAUAGCGGGUGAGGGUAUUCACAGCCGACCGCUCAGACGGGGAUUUGUGAAGAGACAGGCUAUUUUUGCCUGCAACACACCUGCUGGGCUCUGCCUUGCCUGCACCAACCAUUGCCAUGACGGGCGUCUUUGAGCUCUACACAAAAAGGAAUUUCCACUGUGACUGGCAAGUUUAAGUGCCAGCUGAAGUCUCCUAUUUUCCAAUCUACCCCUCAGUCAAGUCUUCCUGACAGCUGAACAUUGAUGGCUGAUUUCCUCUGUCCUUUUCCUUUUGCAGGGCAAAGACUGACAAAACAUUAAAAACCAAUACAAUCACAACUUCCAUGGCUGUUACUGUACCUGUGACAGACCUUACCCAGACACUGAUGAUCAGGUGUGGGUUUCAUUCCAGCGUUACGCACCCAUUCACUUUCUCCAUCACUAUUGAUGAAUGAAUGUUUUAUUUCUGUCGGAAUCAUACGCUAUGUUGAUAUGCUAGAUCUCUAGGAUUCAGUUAGUGUGUUGUUGAAAGAAGGAUGGCUAUGUCAUUCUAAAUCACAAAACACUGUGUCAUGGUCUUUAUAUUUCCCAUGAGGUUAAUGAGGAUAUGAUUCAGUGUAUCAUCUCUGAGGACUGGUAUCAUCCUAGGGUAUGUAUCGGGCUAACAUCAUGAUUGUUGUCAGUUCUCUUUCGAGAUCUAAACUAUGUUAGCCGGGAUAAUGGUUUUGGUACAAAGACAGGAAUGAUUACUCCUCCUUGACCAUGUGGGCCUCUCUGUGACAGCACUUGGGUUGUAUGGUGGAAAAGACUGAGGAGAUGGAGAGUGAGACCUGUAUGAGCAAAGCCCCCUUCCUUUGGACCUACUUCGCCCACUUAGCAGGUGUGUUAUUAUUCCUUCCACUGACAGAGAGUGCUAGGGAUCCAGAGCUCUGGGAUUGGGUUACAAAAAACACCAACCAUAAAUGAGUACUGCUUUUUAAAUCUCUUGCCCCUAGCUAACUAAAGAUUGGAGAUAACGGUACUGUUCAUUCAUUCAUUCAGUUGAGAUAAUGACAAAAGUGUGCAAAGCUAUCAUCAAGGGAAAGGGUGGCUAC